RNAcentral lists this ribosomal RNA (515 nucleotides) under uncultured bacterium. Its description in RNAcentral is "partial 16S ribosomal RNA". It matches the Rfam family "Bacterial small subunit ribosomal RNA", at positions 28 to 523 of the family's 1533-position model. The record is from RNAcentral.
GAUGAACGCUGGCGGCGUGCCUAAUACAUGCAAGUCGAGCGAAUGGAUUAAGAGCUUGCUCUUAUGAAGUUAGCGGCGGACGGGUGAGUAACACGUGGGUAACCUGCCCAUAAGACUGGGAUAACUCCGGGAAACCGGGGCUAAUACCGGAUAACAUUUUGAACCGCAUGGUUCGAAAUUGAAAGGCGGCUUCGGCUGUCACUUAUGGAUGGACCCGCGCCGCAUUAGCUAGUUGGUGAGGUAACGGCUCACCAAGGCAACGAUGCGUAGCCGACCUGAGAGGGUGAUCGGCCACACUGGGACUGAGACACGGCCCAGACUCCUACGGGAGGCAGCAGUAGGGAAUCGUCCGCAAUGGACGAAAGGCUGACGGAGCAACGCCGCGUGAGUGAUGAAGGCUUUCGGGUCGUAAAACUCUGUUGUUAGGGAAGAACAAGUGCUAGUUGAAUAAGCUGGCACCUUGACGGUACCUAACCAGAAAGCCACGGCUAACUACGUGCCAGCCGCCGCGGUAA